RNAcentral lists this ribosomal RNA (253 nucleotides) under uncultured bacterium. RNAcentral describes it as "partial 16S ribosomal RNA". It matches the Rfam family "Bacterial small subunit ribosomal RNA", at positions 524 to 776 of the family's 1533-position model. The record is from RNAcentral.
UACGUAGGUGGCAAGCGUUAUCCGGAUUUAUUGGGCGUAAAGGGAACGCAGGCGGUCCUUUAAGUCUGAUGUGAAAGCCUUCGGCUUAACCGGAGUAGUGCAUUGGAAACUGGGAGACUUGAGUGCAGAAGAGGAGAGUGGAACUCCAUGUGUAGCGGUGAAAUGCGUAGAUAUAUGGAAGAACACCAGUGGCGAAAGCGGCUCUCUGGUCUGUAACAGACGCUGAGGUUCGAAAGCGUGGGUAGCAAACAGG